AACGCACAUUGCACUCUUUGGUUAUUCAGAGAGUAUACCUGUUUGAGUAUCAGUUAUCCCUUCUAAUCAAGUAUUUGAUUGAUCUGAGUCACUAUGAAUUUCAUACGACUUGUAAAGCAUAAGUAAAAAAAGAUGCGUUGUGUAAACAAAAGCGUGUUGUAAUCAAGAGUUGCUUGUUCCUCACCGCCUUUCAACCAACACAUCGAUUUCUAAUAACAAUGAUCUCAAAUCAGGUAGGAUUACCCGCUGAACUUAA
Molecule: unclassified non-coding RNA, 256 nt
Filed under: Hygrocybe sp.
Lineage: Eukaryota; Fungi; Basidiomycota; Agaricomycetes; Agaricales; Hygrophoraceae
Description: partial contains 5.8S ribosomal RNA, internal transcribed spacer 2, and large subunit ribosomal RNA
Source: RNAcentral